Molecule: transfer RNA, 72 nt
Filed under: Cavia porcellus (domestic guinea pig)
Lineage: Eukaryota; Metazoa; Chordata; Mammalia; Rodentia; Caviidae
Rfam family: tRNA
About the family: Transfer RNA (tRNA) molecules are approximately 80 nucleotides in length. Their secondary structure includes four short double-helical elements and three loops (D, anti-codon, and T loops).
Source: Rfam by way of RNAcentral
UGGGAUUUAGCUCAGUGGUAGAGUGCUUGCCUAGUAUGUACAAGACCCUGGGUUCAAUCCCCAGUGUCACAA